Molecule: transfer RNA, 790 nt
Filed under: Asaia bogorensis
Lineage: Bacteria; Pseudomonadati; Pseudomonadota; Alphaproteobacteria; Acetobacterales; Acetobacteraceae
Description: partial miscellaneous RNA
Rfam family: tRNA (bases 135-208)
Source: RNAcentral
UGCGGCUGGAUCACCUCCUUUCAAGGAUGUUUCCUGAUACGUUGGGAAACGCCGAAAAAAAGACCUGCAUUGGAUCAGUGCAGGCAACGGAUGGCCUCAGGGCGCCGUCAACAUAUCCCUUCCUGUAAUGUUUUGGGCUAGUAGCUCAGUUGGUUAGAGCACACGCUUGAUAAGCGUGGGGUCGGAGGUUCAAGUCCUCCCUGGCCCACCACGACUGUGGUGGUUUCGAGCCUUGAGAGAGUGAAGUUCAUUGAUAACUAUCGAUGAUGCUUUGCUGAUCUUGACUGGGGGCGUAGCUCACCUGGGAGAGCACCUGCUUUGCAAGCAGGGGGUCGUCGGUUCGAUCCCGUCCGCCUCCACCAGAAACCACACCAAAGAAUGCUGCUUGGCGAGAGCUUUGAGCGGCAUGAUGGUGCGAUAACAUUACAGGUUAAGGGAAAAAUGUUUCCUCCCUGCCGCACUUUGGUGCGGGAGCGAUGAAAAAGUCUGUUCUUUGUCAGUGUGAAUAGGUUGGUGCACUUUCUGGGUGCUGCCACGAUCCGGGUUGGUCUGACCCAUGUGGAUCGGUUCUUGGGUUUCUGGACUUUGGUCCGGGAAGCUCUGAUCCGGUCUCGUGUUAAGGAUUGUGGCGUAUAGCGGUCAGAGAGUGUUUUAUAAGUAUGAUGAACUUUGCGUGCGAUGCAUUGCAUUUUCUCUGCGCAGGAAACUCUGAAGCGCGCGAGCGUGGAUGGUUGCUGUGCAUGUGUAGUGUGUGAGCAUGAGAAGGGCAUUCGGUGGAUGCCUUGGCAUC